Molecule: ribosomal RNA, 431 nt
Filed under: Streptococcus agalactiae
Lineage: Bacteria; Bacillati; Bacillota; Bacilli; Lactobacillales; Streptococcaceae
Description: bacterial SSU rRNA
Rfam family: Bacterial small subunit ribosomal RNA
Source: RNAcentral
UUAAUGAGAGUUUGAUCCUGGCUCAGGACGAACGCUGGCGGCGUGCCUAAUACAUGCAAGUAGAACGCUGAGGUUUGGUGUUUACACUAGACUGAUGAGUUGCGAACGGGUGAGUAACGCGUAGGUAACCUGCCUCAUAGCGGGGGAUAACUAUUGGAAACGAUAGCUAAUACCGCAUAAGAGUAAUUAACACAUGUUAGUUAUUUAAAAGGAGCAAUUGCUUCACUGUGAGAUGGACCUGCGUUGUAUUAGCUAGUUGGUGAGGUAAAGGCUCACCAAGGCGACGAUACAUAGCCGACCUGAGAGGGUGAUCGGCCACACUGGGACUGAGACACGGCCCAGACUCCUACGGGAGGCAGCAGUAGGGAAUCUUCGGCAAUGGACGGAAGUCUGACCGAGCAACGCCGCGUGAGUGAAGAAGGUUUUCGGAU